UACGAAGGGUGCAAGCGUUACUCGGAAUUAUUGGGCGUAAAGCGCACGUAGGCGGCUUUGCAAGUCGGAUGUGAAAUCCCUCGGCUCAACCAAGGAAGUGCAUCCGAAACUGCAGAGCUUGAGUACCAAAGAGGAUCGCGGAAUUCCCGGUGUAGAGGUGAAAUUCGUAGAUAUCGGGAGGAACACCAGUGGCGAAGGCGGCGAUCUGGGUGGAUACUGACGCUGAGGUGCGAAAGCGUGGGGAGCAAACAGG
This 253-nucleotide ribosomal RNA is filed under the name uncultured bacterium. Its description in RNAcentral is "partial 16S ribosomal RNA". It matches the Rfam family "Bacterial small subunit ribosomal RNA", at positions 524 to 776 of the family's 1533-position model. The record is from RNAcentral.